GCCGGGCCGGGGGCGGGCGGAGCGCGGAGGCGGCGAGGGAAGCAGGGGAGAGGGUGGGAGAGCGAGGGGCGGCUGCGGGCCGGGAGCCCUGAGCCGGACUGAGGCUGGGGGGCUGGAGCUGGGGGCCGGGAGCUGGGAGCCGAGGCUGGGGACCGGGAGCUGGGGGCCGGGAGUUGGGGCUGGGGGCUGAGGCUGGGAGCUGGGGCUGGGGGCUGAGGCUGGCGGCUGGGAGUUGGGGCUGGGGGCUGAGGCUGGGGGCUGGGAGUUGGGGCUGGGGGCUGAGGCUGGGGGCUGGGAGCUGGGGGCUGGGGGGGCUGAGGCUGGGGGCUGGGAGCUGGGGGCUGGAGGCUGAGGCUGGGCGGGGGCAGGGGCAGGGGCUGUUGCUGACGGUCCGGGGAGGGGUCUGGGGCUCCCCGUGUCUCCCGCAGCCUCCGGGCAAGCGCCGGAGGGCGAAAGCAGCGUGUGGUCGGAGGCGGAGCGGUGCGGGCCGGUGUGCGGGGGGCCGGGGCGCGGGGGCCCGGCGCUCGGCUCCUCCGGCUUCGCCCCCUGGCCGGACCCCUGAGCCCGCACCCCGCACCCCGCACCCCGCACCCCGCACCCCGCACGGAACUCCAGCCGUCCGCUGGGCGGCUCUUUGGCCGGGUCCGGCCGCAGGCUGGCGGGGACAGCGGCCGGCGGACAGCGGCCAGAAGGCGGCCGGUCCCGGGACGAAACAAGCCUGCCAUGAAAAGCGAGGUUGGAGGGGGCCACCCAACCACCACCGUGCAUCUCUGCUCAAUUUAGUCUCGGAGACACGGCUUUGCCCGCGGCUCCGCUGCCAUGUUCAGAAAAGACGGAGCCUGAUGCUCGCGUCCCGAGAGGGAUAAGAAGAUGAUAUGUCAAGAUUUGGAUUUUAAUUAUGCAAGAGGCGUUUCAUUCCCAUCUCACACUCCCCUCCCCACUGCUCCCCACCCGGG
This 956-nucleotide long non-coding RNA is filed under the name Ornithorhynchus anatinus (platypus). Its description in RNAcentral is "lncRNA (ENSOANG00000042228.1)". Lineage: Eukaryota; Metazoa; Chordata; Mammalia; Monotremata; Ornithorhynchidae. The record is from RNAcentral.